This 459-nucleotide ribosomal RNA is filed under the name uncultured bacterium. Its description in RNAcentral is "partial 16S ribosomal RNA". It matches the Rfam family "Bacterial small subunit ribosomal RNA", at positions 338 to 795 of the family's 1533-position model. The record is from RNAcentral.
CCUACGGGUGGCAGCAGUGAGGAAUAUUGGACAAUGGUCGGGAGACUGAACCAGCCAAGCCGCGUGAGGGAGGAAGGUACAGAGUAUCGUAAACCUCUUUUGUCAGGGAACAAAGACUGGGACGCGUCCCCGGAUGAGUGUACCUGAAGAAAAAGCAUCGGCUAACUCCGUGCCAGCAGCCGCGGUAAUAUGGAGGAUGCGAGGGUUAUCCGGAUUUAUGGGGUUAAAAGGGUGCGCAGGCGGUAUGUUAAGUCAGCGGUCAAAGCCCGGGGCCAAACCCCGGCCCGCCGUUGAAACUGGCAAGCUCGAGUGGGAGAGAAGUAUGCGGAAUGCGCGGUGUAGCGGUGAAAUGCAUAGAUAUCGCGCAGAACUCCGAUUGCGAAGGCAGCAUGCCGGCUCCACACUGACGCUGAGGCACGAAAGCGUGGGUAUCGAACAGGAUUAGAUACCCGAGUAGUC